GCAGUCGUGGCCUACUGGUUAGGGCUUCAGGCUUGGAACCGAAGGGUUGCCUGUUCGAUCCCCGACCA
This 68-nucleotide transfer RNA is filed under the name Alosa alosa (allis shad). RNAcentral's name for it is "tRNA-OTHER". Lineage: Eukaryota; Metazoa; Chordata; Actinopteri; Clupeiformes; Clupeidae. The record is from RNAcentral.